RNAcentral lists this small RNA (2202 nucleotides) under Theobroma cacao (cacao). Its description in RNAcentral is "sRNA Tc10v2_g006530". Lineage: Eukaryota; Viridiplantae; Streptophyta; Magnoliopsida; Malvales; Malvaceae. The record is from RNAcentral.
GUUCUUGCCACCGCUUGGGCGAUUAUCAUCUUUGAAAUCUCUCUCCAUUAGUGGGUUUUCUGAAGUAGUAACAGUGGGUGAUGAGUUCUAUGGGAAGGGUGAUGCUUCGAGUAAACCAUUUGGAUCUCUUGAAAUUCUAAGAUUCGCAGAUAUGUCAGAGUGGGAAGAAUGGUUUCGUUUGAAAGAUGGAGCUUUCUGUCUUCUUCAAAAGUUAUACAUAGAAGAUUGUCCCAAGUUAACCAAGUCUUUGCCCAAACACCUCCCUUCUUUAUUGAAACUUACGAUUGUGAGAUGUGAGAAGCUUGGAGGCUUGCUUCCAAGGGCACCAAGCAUGUCUGAACUUUACUUAAACCAGUGUGAUGCAUUGCAAUUGGAGCCAUUGCCUUGUGGGCUUCGCAAUUUGAAGAUCUAUGAUUCGAAUAUCAAUGAUUCCAUAUUGGAGCAGAUGAUGCGCCACUGCACUCAUCUUGAAAAGUUGGAAAUGGGGUUUUGUUAUGGACUCAAAUCUCUUCCUGAAGGUAGUCUACCAACUAUGCUAAAGGAAUUGGGCAUCCAUAACUGUGAUGCGUUGGAUUAUUCCAAAAUCCUUUCGUAUACAUCCCUUGAAUGCUUAGAAAUAUCAGGCAACAGCAAUCAUCCACUAGAAUCUUUCUCAAUAGGAUCAUUCCAUAAGCUAAAUCGUCUCCGUAUCAGGUCAUGCAAAGGCUUGAAGUCGAUUGGUGCAUCAGAGGGCCCUCACCAACAUCUCGCAUGUCUCAAUUUUUUGAAAAUCGAGACCUGCCCUAAUUUUAUAUCUUUUCCCGAUGAGGGAUUAUCUGCCACCAAUCUGACAACACUUAGGCUUUUUAAUUGCAAAAUUUUGAAGUCAUUGCCUGAGCAAAUGCAAUCCCUCUUACCAUCCCUUGAGGAUUUGACAAUAUUCAAUUGUCCAGAAAUUGAGUCAUUUCCAAAGGUUUACCCUCCAAAUUAAAAGAUAUUACAAUCGGAAGAAGUGAAAAGCUAAUUGCGGGCAGGAAGGAUUGGGGUUUGGAAAGACUCCCUUCAGUUACAACCUUCCAAAUGGAUGAUGCAGAAGAGAUAGAGUCUUUUCCAGAUGAAUAUCUGCUGCCCUCAACUCUUACCAAAAUUUACAUAUUCAAUCUUCCAAAUCUUAAGUUUUUGGACUACAAGGGCUUUCAACACCUCAGCUGUCUUCGCGAAUUGCAUAUCUCUGGAUGUCCAGAGCUCCAAUCCAUGCCGGUGAAGAGGCUUUCCAUUCCUAUCAUUUCCAUUGAGAAUGAAUUCAUUGUGAAAGAGGCCCUUUGGCAUAAUUGAUGCAAUCUCACUCAGUUAUCAUCCACUAGAACAUUUCUAGGGCAGGAAGGAUUGGGGUUUGAAAAUACUCCCUUCACUUGCGAGCUUCUCAAUCUGGGAUGCAGAAGAUAUGGUGUCCUUUCCAGAUGAACAUUUGCUGCCCUCUACUCUUACCCAUUUUCACAUAUGGCGUCUUCCAAAUCAGUUUUUGGACUAGAAGGGCUCUCAGCACCUCACAUCUCUUCGCACAUUGGUUAUCUCGGACUGUCCAAAGCUCCAAUUGAUGCCAGCAAAGAGGCUUUCUAUCUCCCUUUCUUCUUUAUGGCUUACAAAUUGUCCGUUGCUGGAAGAAAUUGCAAAAAGAAGGAAGGUAAAGAUUGGCCAAAGAUUUCCCACAUCCCUGUCAUUGAGAUUGACGGACAAGUCAUUAUGUAGCAGGACUAUAAAUGUCUCAAGUAGUCCUUUGGCCUGAUCAACGCAGUCUGACUCAGGAAUGAGUUUUUUCUGAAGACAAUGAAGAAUGUUGGGGCUCAUCUCAAAGAACUUUACUUAAAUUGUCCUAAGCUAAUCGAGAUCUUGCCCUCUCAAUGAAACUUGAGAAUAUGUGUGGGUUAACUUCAAAUUGCAGCAAUCCAUGUAUUGGAGUUGGUUGAAUUUGAUUCCUUGCCUUUUGAGGGACUGUUUUGUGGUCUGAACGAGGUGAAAAUUAAUGAUUGCUAUACUCCCAACUCAAGGACUAGUAUAGUGUCAUUCCUAUGAAGAGGUGCCUAAUUCAUUCUGGCAAAUUUGAGGUUUUCUUGCAACAAUCUUGUGUUUGCAACUGUGAUCGACAAGCAUGGCAUCAACCUCCAAUUUCUUGCAAUCUUUCUGAAGACUGGCUAGCCUUUUCUGUUUAAUGCAUUUCUUUUG